RNAcentral lists this non-coding RNA (26 nucleotides) under Rattus norvegicus (Norway rat). The record is from RNAcentral. Lineage: Eukaryota; Metazoa; Chordata; Mammalia; Rodentia; Muridae.
UUACAAGAACAAUGGGGGUGCGAGGU